GGCGAAAUUGUAGUGCAAGUGAAGAUGCUUGCUACCCGCGAUUGGACGGAAAGACCCCGUAGAGCUUUACUGUAGCUUAGCAUUGAAUCUCGGUAUUGUCUGUACAGGAUAGGUGGGAGACUUGGAAACUUGGGCGUCAGCCUGAGUGGAGUCAUCCUUGGGAUACCACCCUGACAGUACUGGGGUUCUAACCGGCGGCCAUGAAUCUGGUCACGGGACAUUG
Molecule: ribosomal RNA, 223 nt
Filed under: Clostridium botulinum
Lineage: Bacteria; Bacillati; Bacillota; Clostridia; Eubacteriales; Clostridiaceae
Description: partial 23S ribosomal RNA
Rfam family: Bacterial large subunit ribosomal RNA
Source: RNAcentral